UGAUUGACGGAGGAGAGUUAACGGGUCAGAGGAGCAGCGGUGACCGAGCAGAGCGCUUCAUCCCGGGCCAGAGAGGGAACAUGAGGCCGCUGUGGUUCACGUGGGUUUGUUUCGUGCACAGCUCGGGUCUGUUGUCUCACGUGGAGCGUUACGAGGUGGUCAGACCUCAGAGGCUGCAGAGGAGCAGCCUGAAGGAGAAGCAGCUUUAUCCCGACACGCUGCAGUACGAGCUGGCCAUUGAAGGGAGGACCCACACUAUUCACCUGGAAAAAAACAG
Paralichthys olivaceus (Japanese flounder) is the source of this 277-nucleotide non-coding RNA. Lineage: Eukaryota; Metazoa; Chordata; Actinopteri; Pleuronectiformes; Paralichthyidae. The record is from RefSeq and is a predicted model, not a curated record.